RNAcentral lists this ribosomal RNA (181 nucleotides) under uncultured bacterium. RNAcentral's name for it is "partial 16S ribosomal RNA". It matches the Rfam family "Bacterial small subunit ribosomal RNA", at positions 1311 to 1500 of the family's 1533-position model. The record is from RNAcentral.
CCCGACUCCGUGAAGCUGGAUUCGCUGUAAUCGCGCAUCAGCCAUGGCGCGGUGAAUACGUUCCCGGGCCUUGUACACACCGCCCGUCAAGCCAUGGGAGCCGGGGGUGCUUGAAGUGCGUUGCCGCAAGGCGCGCCCUAGAGCGAAACCGGUGACUGGGGCUAAGUCGUAACAAGGUAUC